RNAcentral lists this ribosomal RNA (492 nucleotides) under uncultured bacterium. Its description in RNAcentral is "partial 16S ribosomal RNA". It matches the Rfam family "Bacterial small subunit ribosomal RNA", at positions 29 to 507 of the family's 1533-position model. The record is from RNAcentral.
AGUGAACGCUGGCGGUAGGCCUAACACAUGCAAGUCGAACGGCAGCACAGUAAGAGCUUGCUCUUACGGGUGGCGAGUGGCGGACGGGUGAGGACUACAUCGGAAUCUACUUUUUCGUGGGGGAUAUCGUAUGGCUACUUACGAUAAUACCGCAUACGACCUACGGGUGAAAGCAGGGGAUCUUCGGACCUUGCGCGAUUGACUGAGACGGUGUCGGAUUAGCUAGUUGGCGGGGGAAAGGCCCACCAAGGCGACGAUCCGUAGCUGGUCUGAGAGGAUGAGGUGCUACACGGGAAUUGAGACACGGUCCAGACUCCGACGGGAGGCAGCAGUGUGGAAAUUUGGGCAAUGGGCGCAAGCCUGAUCCAGCCAUACCGCGUGGGUGAAGAAGGCCUUCGGUGUGUAAAGCCCUUUUUUGGGGAAAGAAAAGCAGCAGUUUAAUACCCCGCUUUUCUGACGGUACCCAAAGAAUAAGCACCGGCUAACUUCGUG